RNAcentral lists this ribosomal RNA (557 nucleotides) under uncultured Klebsiella sp. Its description in RNAcentral is "bacterial SSU rRNA". It matches the Rfam family "Bacterial small subunit ribosomal RNA", at positions 26 to 629 of the family's 1533-position model. The record is from RNAcentral. Lineage: Bacteria; Pseudomonadati; Pseudomonadota; Gammaproteobacteria; Enterobacterales; Enterobacteriaceae.
AGAACGAACGCUGGCGGCAUGCCUAAUACAUGCAAGUCGAACGAGAUCUUCGGAUCUAGUGGCGCACGGGUGCGUAACGCGUGGGAAUCUGCCCUUGGGUUCGGAAUAACUUCUGGAAACGGAAGCUAAUACCGGAUGAUGACGUAAGUCCAAAGAUUUAUCGCCCAAGGAUGAGCCCGCGUAGGAUUAGCUAGUUGGUGGGGUAAAGGCCCACCAAGGCGACGAUCCUUAGCUGGUCUGAGAGGAUGAUCAGCCACACUGGGACUGAGACACGGCCCAGACUCCUACGGGAGGCAGCAGUAGGGAAUAUUGGACAAUGGGGGCAACCCUGAUCCAGCAAUGCCGCGUGAGUGAUGAAGGCCUUAGGGUUGUAAAGCUCUUUUACCCGGGAUGAUAAUGACAGUACCGGGAGAAUAAGCUCCGGCUAACUCCGUGCCAGCAGCCGCGGUAAUACGGAGGGAGCUAGCGUUGUUCGGAAUUACUGGGCGUAAAGCGCACGUAGGCGGCUAUUCAAGUCAGAGGUGAAAGCCCGGGGCUCAACCCCGGAACUGCCUUUG